RNAcentral lists this ribosomal RNA (880 nucleotides) under uncultured archaeon pPCA17.1. RNAcentral's name for it is "bacterial SSU rRNA". It matches the Rfam family "Archaeal small subunit ribosomal RNA", at positions 22 to 903 of the family's 1478-position model. The record is from RNAcentral.
GGCCAUUGCUAUCGGAGUCCGAUUUAGCCAUGCUAGUUGCACGAGUUUAGACUCGUAGCAUAUAGCUCAGUAACACGUGGCCAAACUACCCUACAGACCGCGAUAACCUCGGGAAACUGAGGCCAAUAGCGGAUAUAACUCUCAUGCUGGAGUGCCGAGAGUUAGAAACGUUCCGGCGCUGUAGGAUGUGGCUGCGGCCGAUUAGGUAGAUGGUGGGGUAACGGCCCACCAUGCCGAUAAUCGGUACAGGUUGUGAGAGCAAGAGCCUGGAGACGGUAUCUGAGACAAGAUACCGGGCCCUACGGGGCGCAGCAGGCGCGAAACCUUUACACUGCACGACAGUGCGAUAGGGGGACUCCGAGUGCGAGGGCAUAUAGCCCUCGCUUUUCUGUACCGUAAGGUGGCACAGGAACAAGGACUGGGCAAGACCGGUGCCAGCCGCCGCGGUAAUACCGGCAGUCCAAGUGAUGGCCGAUAUUAUUGGGCCUAAAGCGUCCGUAGCCGGCCGGACAAGUCCGUUGGGAAAUCGACGCGCUCAACGCGUCGGCGUCCAGCGGAAACUGUCCGGCUUGGGGCCGGAAGACCUGAGGGGUACGUCCGGGGUAGGAGUGAAAUCCUGUAAUCCUGGACGGACCACCAAUGGGGAAACCACCUCAGGAAGACGGACCCGACGGUGAGGGACGAAAGCUAGGGUCUCGAACCGGAUUAGAUACCCGGGUAGUCCUAGCUGUAAACGAUGCUCGCUAGGUGUGCCGUAGGCUACGAGCCUGCGCUGCGCCCUAGGGAAGCCGAGAAGCGAGCCGCCUGGGAAGUACGUCUGCAAGGAUGAAACUUAAAGGAAUUGGCGGGGGAGCACCACAACCGGAGGAGCCUGCGGUUU